RNAcentral lists this ribosomal RNA (574 nucleotides) under Rhodotorula mucilaginosa. RNAcentral describes it as "LSU rRNA". It matches the Rfam family "Eukaryotic large subunit ribosomal RNA", at positions 31 to 620 of the family's 3401-position model. Lineage: Eukaryota; Fungi; Basidiomycota; Microbotryomycetes; Sporidiobolales; Sporidiobolaceae. The record is from RNAcentral.
AUUUUUUGCAUAUUUAUAAGCGGAGGAAAAGAAACUAACAAGGAUUCCCCUAGUAGCGGCGAGCGAAGCGGGAAGAGCUCAAAUUUAUAAUCUGGCACCUUCGGUGUCCGAGUUGUAAUCUCUAGAAAUGUUUUCCGCGUUGGACCGCACACAAGUCUGUUGGAAUACAGCGGCAUAGUGGUGAGACCCCCGUAUAUGGUGCGGACGCCCAGCGCUUUGUGAUACAUUUUCGAAGAGUCGAGUUGUUUGGGAAUGCAGCUCAAAUUGGGUGGUAAAUUCCAUCUAAAGCUAAAUAUUGGCGAGAGACCGAUAGCGAACAAGUACCGUGAGGGAAAGAUGAAAAGCACUUUGGAAAGAGAGUUAACAGUACGUGAAAUUGUUGGAAGGGAAACGCUUGAAGUCAGACUUGCUUGCCGAGCAAUCGGUUUGCAGGCCAGCAUCAGUUUUCCGGGAUGGAUAAUGGUAGAGAGAAGGUAGCAGUUUCGGCUGUGUUAUAGCUCUCUGCUGGAUACAUCUUGGGGGACUGAGGAACGCAGUGUGCCUUUGGCGGGGGUUUCGACCUCUUCACACUUAG